Molecule: ribosomal RNA, 875 nt
Filed under: uncultured archaeon
Lineage: Archaea
Description: bacterial SSU rRNA
Rfam family: Archaeal small subunit ribosomal RNA
Source: RNAcentral
CCUGACUGCUAUCGGAUUGAUACUAAGCCAUGCGAGUCUUUGUAGUAAUACAAGGCAGACGGCUCAGUAACACGUAGUCAACCUACCCUAUGGACAAGAAUAAUCUCGGGAAACUGGGCAUAAUUCUUGAUAGAUCAUAAUGCCUGGAAUGGUUUAUGGUUAAAAUGAUUCGUCGCCAUAGGAUGGGACUGCGGCCUAUCAGCUUGUUGGUGAGGUAAUGGCCCACCAAGGCGAUUACAGGUACGGGCUCUGAGAGGAGUAGCCCGGAGAUGGGUACUGAGACACGGACCCAGGCCCUAUGGGGCGCAGCAGGCGAGAAAACUUUGCAAUGUGCGAAAGCACGACAAGGUUAAUCCGAGUGAUUUCUGCUAAAGAAAUCUUUUGUUAGUCCUAGAAACACUAACGAAUAAGGGGUGGGCAAGUUCUGGUGUCAGCCGCCGCGGUAAAACCAGCACCUCAAGUGGUCAGGAUGAUUAUUGGGCCUAAAGCAUCCGUAGCCGGCUCUGUAAGUUUUCGGUUAAAUCUGUACGCUUAACGUACAGGCUGCCGGGAAUACUGCAUAGCUAGGGAGUGGGAGAAGUAGACGGUACUCGGUAGGAAGUGGUAAAAUGCUUUGAUCUAUCGAUGACCACCUGUGGCGAAGGCGGUCUACUAGAACACGUCCGACGGUGAGGGAUGAAAGCUGGGGGAGCAAACCGGAUUAGAUACCCGGGUAGUCCCAGCUGUAAACUAUGCAAACUCAGUGAUGCAUUGGCUUGUGGCCAAUGCAGUGCUGCAGGGAAGCCGUUAAGUUUGCCGCCUGGGAAGUACGUACGCAAGUAUGAAACUUAAAGGAAUUGGCGGGGGAGCACCACAAGGGGUGAAGCCUGCGGUUC